AAUAAAAGGGCUAUGUGAUAGGGAAUGAAUGUUCAGAAGUGCGGUAAAGUUUCUUCUUUUUUUUUAAUUAUAAAGCUGAUAAAGCAAAGUUAUUCCCUUUUCUAUAAAUAUGAUACAUUAAUGUAUCAUAAAAACUCACAUAACAUCUCAUAGAAUAUCACAACUUUAUUGUAUGCCUUCUCUUCUCUUCCAUUUUUCUUCAUUUGGUAAACACAUUCAGAAGUUCUCCAACAGAAUUCUCUCAUCAUAGGUACAGAUCCGACGACCUCUGGAUAUUUAUCCCUGUUGUUCUUUCUUCGCUAGCAUCAUCGGAGAUUUGAGGACCUAAUAGUUGAUCAACUUUUGCCGGACCAUCACAAAAGGUUGCAGUAAAGAUGGAUUCGAAUGAAUAAGUUGUAUGCAAAUGGAACCACUUCAUAUGUGGGAGGUUUCUUGUCCCAACCUGGAAGGGCGAUAUAUCCAUGCAGCAAACAGCAUGAGUGCUCAAUGCUCUCACCAACUUCCAACUGCCUACUUCAGCAAACUUAAGGCAUUGAUGGUGAGUAGUUGUGGAGAAUUGAGAAACUUGAUGUCUCCAUCAGUGGCCAGAGGUCUUCUGAAUCUUCUAAAACUAUGGAUAGAAGACUGCCAAUCAAUGAAAGAAGUAAUUACAGAAGAGGAAAAACAAGGAGAUGAAAUCAUGGCUAAUGAGCCCUUAUUUCCCCGUUGGUCGAGCUGAACCUCAAGAAUCUACCAGAGCUGGGGCAUUUCAUUCUGACUAAGCAUGCUCUUAAAUUUCCGUUCCUCAUAGAAGUGCAGAUUUAUAAAUGCCCUAAAAUGAAGACGUUUGUCCAACAGGGUUCUGUGAGUACACCGAAACUCAAAGUGUCCUUACCGAUUCUCAACACGCGCGGUUAUGAAAGUGAGACGAUAGUAGAUGAUCUGAAUGAAUGGAUACAUCAGAGGAUCAAUUCUAAGGAGGAAGACAACAACAACAUACCCGGUGUAUUCCCACAUAGAGGGAUCUUGCACACAGACCAUACCCCUACCUCAGAGGUAGAGAGACUGUUUCGGUUAGACCCUCGGCAAGAAAAAAUCCAAUCUAGGAACCUCGUGAAAGACAUAUUAUCUGGCUCUAGUUACUCAUCCAAAUCCAAAUCCUCAUAUGGGAAGUUCAAAAUUUCUAAUAAGAGUAUUUCAAUACUCACGAGAUUGAGUUGCCAAACCAUACAAAUUCGGGAAGUUGGGGAAAGCAAAACAUUACACAUUCCGUAAAAAUAAGCAUGAAAUGAUUUGUGUUUUAGUUU
Capsicum annuum is the source of this 1286-nucleotide long non-coding RNA. RefSeq lists it as uncharacterized. The transcript has 5 exons. The record is from RefSeq and is a predicted model, not a curated record. NCBI's taxonomy places the organism in Eukaryota, Viridiplantae, Streptophyta, Magnoliopsida, Solanales, Solanaceae.